RNAcentral lists this RNase P RNA (355 nucleotides) under Gammaproteobacteria bacterium. RNAcentral describes it as "RNase P RNA component class A". It matches the Rfam family "Bacterial RNase P class A". From Rfam's summary of the family: Ribonuclease P (RNase P) is a ubiquitous endoribonuclease, found in archaea, bacteria and eukarya as well as chloroplasts and mitochondria. Its best characterised activity is the generation of mature 5'-ends of tRNAs by cleaving the 5'-leader elements of precursor-tRNAs. Lineage: Bacteria; Pseudomonadati; Pseudomonadota; Gammaproteobacteria. The record is from RNAcentral. RNAcentral also lists the same sequence under 1 other name.
GGAGUCGGCCAGGCAAUCGCUGUACUUUUGUGCAGAGGAAAGUCCGGGCUCCAGAGGGCGAGGUGCCAGGUAACACCUGGGGGGCGUGAGCCUACGGAAAGUGCAACAGAGAGUAGACCGCCUAAGCGCUUCGGCGCCGGUAAGGGUGAAAGGGUGCGGUAAGAGCGCACCGCGCGGGUGGCAACAUUCCGCGGCAUGGUAAACCCCACCUGGAGCAAGACCAAAUAGGGGAACAGGCUUUUGCCAGGCGCGGCCCGCGCGGGUUCCCGGGUAGGUUGCUCGAGGUCUGCGGCGACGCAGAUCCCAGAUGAAUGGUUGUCCAAGACAGAACCCGGCUUAUCGGCCGGCUCCCCGC